Physcomitrium patens is the source of this 3852-nucleotide RNA transcript. It is a transcript of the gene named receptor-like cytosolic serine/threonine-protein kinase RBK2, with no coding region annotated. The record is from RefSeq and is a predicted model, not a curated record. Lineage: Eukaryota; Viridiplantae; Streptophyta; Bryopsida; Funariales; Funariaceae.
UCGUCGAUCGCAUGGCCCACCGCGAAGGUUAAUCCGAGGUGAAACCCGAAGCAGUCGCUUCCGCCUCGAACCUGGCGCUCGAUCCACCCUAAAAACCUCAUUUCGUCGUCGGCUUGGUCGAUCCCCAUCCUCCGCCUCCAUGCUCCAAAUGGGGAGAUCCUUUACUGUGCAUCCUUAAUUUGGAUGCGAAUCUUUGUUUCCCUUUCAUUGGGCGCCUCGUUUUGUUCUGGUUUCUUUUCCCUCCCGUAACCCUUCCACUUCCUGAUUUGGUUGUUUGUUUGUUUCCUCGUCGAUGCUUUUGAUCCCGACCUCGUUUGUUCGUUCGUCGGUUUGAGUUCCUUGCUCCAGCAUUCUACUUUCCAUUUCGAUCCCUCAGUGUCUUUCUGCGAAGUGGUGAUCCUGAUACUGUAUUGACGAGGAGUUCGUUUGGAACUUUGGCGUUUCGGAAGCUCAGGUUGGUCCAUGGUCGUGCAAUUGAUGAGUAGAAUGCGUAGCAGUAGCAGGUUAUCAUGCUAGGCGCGUAGAACCGAGCGAUACAGUUGCUGCUAUCACUCAUCAGGAGUACUAGCGAUUGAUCUUUCAGGUCAAUGUUGUUAGCUUCUUCGCACAGUCGUCCCAACGUUAAUCCGACGCAGCUUUUCUAGUGGAAUGCGGCUUCAGCGCGGCAUCCUCAUGAUCUCGUAUAUUAAUCCUCGUAAGACUCAAUUCCAGAUGCACUUAGACGUAUUUCAAUUCUAAUCAUAGCUACUGCACGAGUAAUGCUUCUUGAAUCCACUCGCCAGCAGUCUGAGUUGAUCCCUCGGGUCUCGUACUUGCAUUGUAACGCAGUGCAAUUGUGCAAGCUCUCCGUUUCACACUAGGACCUCGCAUUGACAGCCUUGGGAUUCUGUCUAAAUUUCGAGAGUGCUUCACGCCAAUACUUGACCACCGCUCAGGCUGUGAGAACUGUCCAGGCGAAACGCUCUUGGUCACCAUUCUAUCGUCCUUUAAAGAAUAUCCAAACGAACUCCUCGUUAUCUCGUCGAUAGAGAUCUGCCAGUGUGCUUCCCAACUUCUAAGAAUAUUUUACUGAUGUGUGACAUAGACCCAAACAACGGAAACAACCAACUAAUUUACCCGCAAUCUCCUUGAUUUAGCUUGGGCUGGGUCAGGAGGUAAUUUUAAUCAUUUAUGAGUUUAAGGUGUAGCUUUGGUGUGUCGUGAAAGGGAGAUCAAAGGUUUAUACCAUUGAUCUAUCGUCAAACAGAAUAAAGUUCUAGUGUAUACCUCAAAGCGGCUCGUUGUUUCUUCAGGCAAGAGCUUCUUCUAUAGGACAUGACUCAUAUCCAAGCAGCCGAAACGGAUAGUGAGCUGUGAUGCAGUUGUGCUGGCGUGAACCAGAAUCUGAACAGCAAAAGAGAAUAAUCGGGUUAUACAGAAUUAGCGGUCACAGCUGAAGAGAAUUCGCUCUGGUUAUGGACGACGAAAAUGAUGCUAUUGCAAGCAGGCUUUUAAAAGCUGGCGGGUGUGAAACCAGAAUACCAGUGAAGCCGUCAGUGAGUUGGAUGUUGGCGGGGGAGAAUUGUGAGGUGUGUCUCACGCAGCUCUUCUGUAAUCGGGUGAAGCAGACUUACUGUGUGAGUUGCUCUCAAUGGGAGAAGAUGUUGUCGGAUUCCGCAGAUUUGGACGGUAAAGACCAGCUUGAAACGCCGUCCUCUAUCGGAAUUAGCAAGUCCUCAUCAGAGUAUAUUGUCAACAUCGGAGAAAACUUCAAGGAUAUUCUUAGAGCUGAUGUUGGCAGCACAAGGUCGAGGGGUGGAUCAUCCUCUCUCAGCAUGCUGCAGCAGAAAUUUUUCUGCUCAGUUCCUUCGAUUGUAGACAACGAAUCAGGCCCCAUCAAUGCUUGCCUCUGGGAUGAGGAUUUUAGUGACAAGAUGAACUCGAUUCAGAAGUUUAACAUUUCCAGACAGGAUUCGAGAUGCGAUGCUGAGAGGGACUCUCCACGAGCAGUGCUGGAGGGUCCAUUUUCGAGUGGAUCGCCUAAUUUUUCCAGGAAAAGUGUAUUGAAUUCAACUUUUGACGUUGAGAACUUAAGUGACCACACUGGCUUGACACAAUCCACCCAGAAGCAUUGUAUUCAAAGCCUGUGGAGAUCUUUCGCGACUAGAAAGUGGCAGUCGUUUCCGACGUCGUAUCGUAAGAAAGAUCUGUCGAUUUCGGAUCCCGUGUUGCAAAAUCCUCAGGCACAGGCAGAGCCUCUGUUCCAAGAGUGUGUGGAUGAUUUUCUUAGCACAUCUUGUAGCAUCCGAAGGGCUUGGCAGACUUUCUCGUAUGAUGAUAUUUCUCUUGCAACUAACAACUUCGGUCCAGAGAAUCUAGUUGGCGAAGGUGGAUUUGCGAAGGUGUACAAGGGAAUGCUUAAAAACGGUCAGCUGAUUGCAGUGAAGAAACUCAAUCGCGGUGGUACUCCAGCAGAAAAGGAAAGAGGCUUUCUAAUUGAAUUGGGCAUUGUCAGCCACGUAUCCCAUAUAAACGUUGCAAAAAUCUUGGGCAUCUGUAUAGAAAACGGUUUACACCUAAUAUUUCAAUUGUCUACUCUGGGCAGUCUCCAGCCGCUUCUUCACUCUUCGAAUUCCCCAGGUCUUACGUGGGAAACGAGAAAGAAGGUUGCACUGGGCGUAGCAAGAGGAUUGCAUUACCUCCAUGAGCAGUGCCAAAGGCGGAUCAUCCACCGCGACAUCAAGGCGUCAAACAUAUUAUUGGACUCUAAUUUUGAGCCCCAGAUAUCAGAUUUCGGUCUGUCAAAAUGGCUUCCAGAUAGAUGUUCACAUCAUACUGUUCUUCCCAUAGAAGGAACCUUUGGGUACUUAGCAUCUGAGUACUUCCUUCAUGGACGAGUGGAUGAGAAGACGGAUGUAUUCGCUUACGGCGUGUUGCUCCUUGAGCUUAUAACUGGCCGUCGACCUGUGGAUUCUGAAAAGCAAAAUCUUGUUAUAUGGGCAAAACCAUACCUGAGAAAGGGCAACGUCAAGCAGCUUGCAGACCAGCGUCUGGAUGGCGAGUUUGAUUCCGAUCAAAUGCACCGCCUGGUAUUGAUAGCAGGCCUGUGUGUCCGGCCAUCACCCACUUCUCGCCCUUCGAUGCGUCAGGUAGUGCAACUACUGUCGGAAGAUGUGGCAGAUAAGAAAUCCGAUCUCGUGUCAAGAUCGUUUUCGCAAUGGCAUGACGUUGCAUGCUCCGAUGCCGACACCGAGGAGGAGUAUGGUUCCACUGAGGAUUACGAGACUGACAUGCAACGGCAUCGAGCUCUAGCUCUGGAAUUCGAGUGACAGUGAACGAAGAUCAUCUCAUAUUUUGCAUCGAUCUUCACACCAGCACGAGUUCACUUAGACGUUCAGCCUAAAGAAACCCAAUUCUAGGGCCUCCUAUCUUGCAGCAUUGAAGGUCAUCUGUAUAACAAGCAGGCAUAGAUAUAUGGUAUAAUGCAAGACAUAAUUUUGUGUCGACGAAUUAGAUGCUGAGAUUUAAUGAGCAGAAAAACUAGAGGUUGACUGCUUGUUGGAAAAUGGAGAGAUUCAGUAUUAUGGCUGUAGACUGGUUUAGAAUAUCCAGUUUGUGAGAUCCUCCUCUUCGAACAUCCUUGCCACAAACCAUCAGAGGGUGUUUUUUUCUUUCUUUUUUUUUUCUUUUUUCUUUUUUUUUUUUUUUUUUUUUUCUGUUAAAUCGUUUUGAACGUGUCGAGGUGGACUUCAAGCAUGCGAUUCUUAUCAACAGCUCCCAAUGUGUUAAAAAUGAUUCUUCUACCAUCGAAAUAAGUAUGGUUUACAAUGUAGUAGGCAUCAAAAACUAAUCCAAGUCACUUGAUUGAGUGUA